Molecule: long non-coding RNA, 4502 nt
Organism: Papaver somniferum (opium poppy)
Lineage: Eukaryota; Viridiplantae; Streptophyta; Magnoliopsida; Ranunculales; Papaveraceae
Exons: 4
Source: RefSeq, a predicted model, not a curated record
ACUAGACAGUCUUUUGCACCACAACAAUUACCAGGAAAACCCAUCUUGCCAUCUGCUCAGCUGCGAUGCCAGACCUGUAGCUCAAUCUCCAAUUGCAGUUGUAUCACUUGCUCUUCUCAGCCUCAAAGUACCACCAGAAUUUCUUCUUGAUUCAACAGCAAACAAACCCACUGCUAAUUUCUUCAUGACAGAAACUCUCAGAUUCAGAACCCAACAGAACUCUCUGUUAAUAAUCCAUGGAAACACAUCUUCCAUACCCUGUAUUACCAACUCGAACCCACGAGAUCCAUUCAUCAUAUUCUCUCUCAAUUUAUGUUCUUCAGCAGUUCUAUCAUCUCUUCAUGUAAAUCAACAGCAACAAGAGUCCAUCGAUUAAACCCAUUACGAACUCCAAUUUCUCAGACCGUCAACAACACCAAACUCCUCCCUGAGUUCAAUUUCUCCUCUUCUACGAACCCAUCUUGCUGCCGAUUCUCUAUUCAGCUCAAACCCUUAAACCAACAACGUUCUUCUCUACUUCUUCAUCUCUGUCUCGAUUUGUCUCAGACCCAUCUUCAAUUUCUGCUCAAUUUGAUUCAACAGCAUCGAUGUCUUCAUGUAAAGUUCAAGAACACAGCACUGCAUCUCUAUCUCAGAUUCAAACUAAAAACCCAUUCAAUUCACGGUACCACCUUCAUCAGUUCUUCAACAGCGCUACCAACAACCACUCUCAAUCUCUUGAUUUCUCUCAUUUUUGAUCUGCCUCAGCUAGGUUUCACAACAGCAGCCGCUGUUUAAUUUUCUUUCUUCUCAAUUUCAGGGUCAGGUGCAAAUGAUUUUAUUUUCUUAUUUUUGCUAGAAAAGAUAUAUUGUUAGUAGAAAUUAAGUUUAAUCCCAUAUUUGUUGGGUCUUAUUGUAAAAUGUUUUCUUUCUAUCCAAAACAUUUCUUUUUUCCGAGUUUAAACAAAUUUGAAUUCUCAAUUCUCUACGACAUCUAGGAGCUAAAAUAUUUUCAGGAACAAUAAAAGCAUAAUUUUUUUCAUCUCUCUUUUCAAGCACCCUUUCAUGUCUAUGUCUUUUAAUGGAUUCAUCAAAAGAAUUAUUAUAACCGUUUUCUUUUUGUUGGUUUUUUCUAUUAGUUUGGUGAUUACUCUUAUGGACCAGUGAAAUAACUAUGGUUUGAUACAUAAUAAAAAGUCCAUGUUCUAGUCCUACCAUCCCAGGCCUAGUACUGGUUAGUCAUAAUUUACCAAAUCCAAUACGAGUUAGUCAUAUUCUUUACGAUUCAGUCCAAAUUGAAUUUUUUGAUGGCAAAUAUAACCCUCUUGUAAAACCUAGAGUACUAAUUUGUUCGUAAUUCAUUUUUCACUCUCUUAUCGGCGAUGAAACCUACCGCGAAGAAGAAGAAUCUUCCAUUUCUCUUUAAUCUGGAACGGAAGUGAUGAGAAAUCUUGCAUUUCUUCAUAUCUUCAUCAAUUUUUUUUUAUCUUACAUCAGUUCUUCUUCAUCCAAUUUACAUAAAUCUCAGAUUCUCGGUGUUAAUAAAGUUUGUUGAAGUGUAAAUCCCAGGAGUAAGUUUAGUUGUAACUAACCGACGGACAUGAACGAAGAAGAUAUGAUUGAAUGUGUUAAUAAACUGAGAGAAAUGAAGGAAGAAUGUUUCAUUCAUGCUGGAAGAGGAAAACAUAGAGUGCGAUUGACACGGUGCGUUUGCAUACACCUCUGGUUGAGUUGAUGCUAUGAGUUGAUGUUGAUUAGUUAAGCACCCUGUAUGUGCACAAUAAAGGAUACUCACACAUAUCUGGAUUUUUCUUCAGUACCGAUUUUAAGUUUUUCCGUAAUCCUCAUGUCUUUGGCAUUGAAAAUCACCACUGCUGUACACAUCAUGAGUCGUCGACGGAGUAUAGCGUUCAACUGGAUAUGGGUUAACACGCACCAUAUAUGAUGGAUCUGACAAAGUCAUAGGCAGGCCUUGCGAGGAAGAUCAUGUAAUGGUAUUUCAUUUUGUUUAUAGGGAAAUCAGGUAAAAACAUCCUUAUUAAACAGUUUUUCAUCUAUGUGCAGAUAUAUGACAUUUUACAUAGUAACAUAUGACAAAAAUUACAUGUGUACAUAUUAGUACACUUGUAAUAUAAGUGUACAUUUUUGUGCACAUGUGACAAAAUUACAUGUGUACAUAUUAGUGCACCUGUAAUUCAAGUGGACAUUGUUGUGCACUUUAUUUUUUUAAGGCUGGGCGUAUCUCUGCAAUUCAGAGCUAGUUUGGCUUGGCGGUAGGGACCACUGAUGAGUAAUAAAAUAUGUCUGUCAUUUUAUUACUACCAAAAAGUUGUGUGUUUCAGUGUGGAACUAGUUUGGCUUGGUGGUAGGCAUCGUAACAUCAACUUCCCUUGCUUUUGGUCACCAAUAAAUGACUACAUUUACUGACAUGGAACAGGUGCUCUAGCAAUUGCAGUUUCCAAUCCUACUGAAUCUUUUAAAAGUCCAACUUCAAUCAGAAGGAAAAUUGUCACUUGUGUACAUAGUUAUACACAAGUUGAUUCUUAGUGUUUACAUAAUUGUACACCUGUUGAUCGUGAAUGUGCACAAAGUUGUACACUUGUUGCUUUUUCAUUUUUGAUAAAGAUUAAAGUUCAAUGACAUGGAAGUCCUUUGAGUUGACGUAUUUCUUAAUUGUCAUUUUGAAAUUGCGUUAUGUUUUUCGUGCUCACUGAUUAGUUUUUCUUAUUCAAGUUUAAUUUGGCAUAAAGUGUCAGUUUACGUUACACAAUUUGGUAAUGUUUUGUAUAAAUAUUCUAUUGUGAAACAUUUUGUGGUUCUGCAAUGACGAUAUAAAUACUUCUUAAGUUGACUGUGAUCAAUUUAGUUAGUAAUACCCCGAGUGAGUCUUAUUACAGCUAACUACUUGUAGGAUAUUAUGCUUGAAUAAGCUCAUAGUGAGAUACUAAUUUCUUGUCUUACAACAACAAGGUGAGACAAAGUGUUCAUAUCAUAUGAACACGGAGCUAUGCAAGUUUGGUUUAGCAUGUAAAUUUUAUCGUGCAAAUCCAGCUGGUGCAUCUAUGCCUGCACCAGCAGUUGCACGUGCACCUACAUUUUAUCCCACUAUGUAGUCUCCUUGGUUCCUUCUCAGACAUAUUGGCAAGUUCCAAGCCCUCGUUUUUUGCUGGUUCAUAUAUAUAAGAAGCACUUUUGUGCCUAUGUUUCUCCCGCAAUGAAUAGUUCCCACGUUGAAUUCUUUAUCCGGUAUAUGCAUGAACACCUCUUCUCAUUAAUAUUUUUUAAAAUAAUUUAUUAUAUGUAAAAUUGAUUAUUAGUCUUCUUUUGUAACAUUCAAGAAAAUGAUAGUCAAUUAUAUGCGCUUGUUUGGGUAUUCGGUUGGCAAACGUGACAAGUGUAUUUUCUUGUACACCAGUUAUAUGGGUGCAAAUAAAAGUGCAUCUCUUUUUUGUGCUUGUUACAAGUGUAUAUGCUUGUACACCUUGCUCUUGCUCUUAGAGCUUCAAUGGAGGAAGAGAGGGCAAGAAAGGAUGCUGCUGCAAGGGAUGCAGAAGAAAAAGGAGGUGGACAGGUUUCAAGUUCACAUGAUACAACUAUGACUGAAAACGCUGGCAUUAUAUCUGAUGGAGCUAAUACAUACGAUUUGAUGGCAGGUCUCAUGCUUGUUACUGGUUGUCCUGGGGUUGAAUAUGUGGUUAGAAACAUGAUGCAGUUUAUGAUUGUACAUGAACUAGAAGAUGUGGUUUUCUGCAGUGAAUAAAAGAUGUGUUUGGUUUGAUUUAGAGUUUAUGCCUGCUGGAGUCAGAAAGAAGAUGGUGUUACUGAGAUUUCAAGGGUGUUAGAACUGUUGAUUUUGUGAAUAUGAGAUGGAGACAGUACUGUUACUUUGUGUGAUUUAGAGUUUGCAGUGACUAAGCUGAUAACGAAAUGAAGAAGCGAUGUGUAUUGUUGCUGGCUGAGCACUUACAUGGUAUGGAUGAGCUGCAGCUGGCUAUGAAGCAAUUGCAGGUGAUGCUAUGGGAAAUUUAGAAGAAUGGGUUUGCUUCUAUGUUGCGGUACAAGGAAUGGUGCAACUGAGUAACUGGUGUUAUUGAGAUGGUAUAACUCUGAAGUGGUGAUCAGGUAAAUAAAUAUCAAAUGCAGAUGGAAUUGCAAAGAUGAAAUCUGAAAUGUGUGAUGUUGGUGGUACUGAGGAGUAGAAUUUAUGUUGUUGUUGGAUGGGUAGUGUUGCUGCAGAAAAGUGCAACUAAGAUUGGAAAGCUACAUAAACGGAUAAAAAACUUGAGUUGAAUGGUUGAGGUGCUGUAGUUGUUUACAGCAGCAGGGUUAAGAGUGGUUGAGCGCUGGAGCUGGUGUUGGUAAUGAGUUUCGGUUGUAAACAGGUGUAUUUUGUAGAUGUGUACAUGUUAGUACACCAAUGUAAACUAAGUUUUUUAAAAAUGAGAAUUAUAUAGUCAUAUGGGUACUCUUUUUGUAACUCUGAAAGAGAUUUCCAAAUAUAUAAAGUUUGAAUUUUGGACAAA